GUCGAACGGCAGCACAGUGUGUAGCAAUACACAUGGGUGGCGAGUGGCGGACGGGUGCGUAAUGUGUAGGGAUCUGCCCUGAAGUGGGGGACAACCCGGGGAAACUCGGGCUAAUACCGCAUAAUACUCUACGGAGGAAAUCUGGCUACGUAAGUAGCUGGAGCUUUAGGAUGAACCUACAUCCGAUUAGCUAGUUGGUGAGGUAAUAGCUUACCAAGGCGAUGAUCGGUAGCUGGUCUGAGAGGAUGACCAGCCACACUGGGACUGAGACACGGCCCAGACUCCUACGGGAGGCAGCAGUGGGGAAUAUUGGACAAUGGGGGAAACCCUGAUCCAGCAAUGCCGCGUGGGUGAAGAAGGCCUUCGGGUUGUAAAGCCCUUUAGGCGGGGAAGAAUGUUGCAGGGUUAAUAGCCUUGCAGCUUGACGGUACCCGCAGAAUAAGCACCGGCUAACUCUGUGCCAGCAGCCGCGGUAAUACAGAGGGUGCUAGCGUUAAUCGGAUUUAUUGGGCGUAAAGGGCGCGUAGGUGGUAAAGCAAGUAGAAUGUGAAAGCCCUGGGCUUAACCUGGGAAGUGCAUCCUAAACUGCUUAACUAGAGUAUGGUAGAGGGUAGUGGAAUUUCCGGUGUAGCGGUGAAAUGCGUAGAGAUCGGAAGGAACGCCAGUGGUGAAGACGACUACCUGGACCAAUACUGACACUGAGGCGCG
This 708-nucleotide ribosomal RNA is filed under the name uncultured Gammaproteobacteria bacterium. Its description in RNAcentral is "bacterial SSU rRNA". It matches the Rfam family "Bacterial small subunit ribosomal RNA", at positions 61 to 755 of the family's 1533-position model. Lineage: Bacteria; Pseudomonadati; Pseudomonadota; Gammaproteobacteria. The record is from RNAcentral.